GCACUCACUUCAGCAGCACUUAUACUAAAAUUGGAACAAGACAGAGAAGAUUAGCAUGGUCCCUGCGCAAGGAUGACAUGGAAAUUUGUGAAGUGUUCCAUAUUUAA
This is a small nuclear RNA of Suncus etruscus (white-toothed pygmy shrew), 107 nucleotides long. Lineage: Eukaryota; Metazoa; Chordata; Mammalia; Eulipotyphla; Soricidae. The record is from RefSeq and is a predicted model, not a curated record.